GUUGUGUACUCUUGCUAGCUUGUGUUGAGACGAACGUGAGACCCUAGAUGCAUACAUCUCCGUCAAGCUAAGUUGCUCACUUUCUUUGCGUGCAGGUUGAGCCCUAACAACAGCACAAUUUGCUUCAACCAGUGCAACAAACAGCAGGGAUAGCAGCAGUGAUGACGGGGGAGUCGGACAAUAAUGGACGGACAGGGAACUGUGGGGCAAGGACGUUCAGGACAAGAUACGCCUUCUGACCAGUGGUGAUUGACAGCACUUAUUAGUAUUGAUCGUGCACAAUUAUAUAUGUGCAUUAACCCUUCAAGAUUGAUACCGUGCUGCUGGGAAAAAAGCACCCAGCCAGAGAACCACAAUGCAGCACAGAAAUAUAAACAACCAUAACUCUCUUACUCUACAUCACCUGCUCUUUGCUUUUAUAUCAAUCCCCUUUUAGUAUUUCUUUUCGGUUUACUGAUGUACACAGACAAACUAUACAAAAUAUACACACCUCCUCCCACUGAUGUAUGUAUCUGAUGAGUCGGGACAGUCUCAACAGACGCAGAAGACUGAGGAUCUUCGUGAAGCGGACGAUUCGCAGGGCACGUGCUGUUUUAUAUACCUCAGAGUCAAAGCCUUUCUCCACUAUUAAAAAGAUAUAAUCCACUGGAAUGGAGGAGAGGAAGUCCACAACGAACCAGCUCUUCAGGUAAUUCAUCUUGAUGACUUUGGGGUCGAGGAUGAUCUCAGAGCUCUCCUCGUUGACGAUCCCCGUCCUGAAGUUCAUUACCAGGUCCACCAGGAAGAUGGUGUCCGAGGCCACAUUGAAGACCAGCCAGGUGGUGGUAGUCUGCUCUGAGAAGAAUGUUAUUCCCACAGGAAUGAUGAUUAGAUUCCCCAUCAUCAUGAUGAGCAUUAUCAAGUCCCAGUAGAACCUGCAAAGCAACACACAUGAAUCAGUAAUGCAAGGUAAAAAAAAACCACAUGUUGUAGACAGUUAAUGCAGACAGUGUCUACUCACAUUUCCAAAGAAUGUGAACACACCUAAAGGACUUUGUCUGAGAGUACUUCUGGAACAAAUUACAGCAACUCAAUUGUGUCUUUUGGACAAUUGAGAAAUCUGGUUUGAAACCUGCACACUUCUACAUGUAACUGCUUUACAUAAUUGUAUUUUCUUUUGCAUCCAUAUUAUCCUGUGUAUUUAUCAAAUCAUUUUCCAAUUCUGAAUGUUUUAUUGUCUUUCUAUAUUUCUUAUGAUUGUACUUUCUGUGUUGUUGUUCUGUAUUUGUCUUUGUAAUCUGACUCGAUGACAUUGAAAAUGAGGGUCGCACCUCAAUGA
Molecule: long non-coding RNA, 1318 nt
Organism: Perca flavescens (yellow perch)
Lineage: Eukaryota; Metazoa; Chordata; Actinopteri; Perciformes; Percidae
Exons: 3
Source: RefSeq, a predicted model, not a curated record